ACUCCUACGGGAGGCAGCAGUGGGGAAUAUUGCACAAUGGGCGCAAGCCUGAUGCAGCCAUGCCGCGUGUGUGAAGAAGGCCUUCGGGUUGUAAAGCACUUUCAGUUGUGAGGAAGGUGGUGUCGUUAAUAGCGGCAUCAUUUGACGUUAGCAACAGAAGAAGCACCGGCUAACUCCGUGCCAGCAGCCGCGGUAAUACGGAGGGGUGCGAGCGUUAAUCGGAAUUACUGGGCGUAAAGCGCAUGCAGGUGGUUUGUUAAGUCAGAUGUGAAAGCCCGGGGCUCAACCUCGGAACUGCAUUUGAAACUGGCAGACUAGAGUACUGUAGAGGGGGUA
Molecule: ribosomal RNA, 336 nt
Filed under: uncultured bacterium
Lineage: Bacteria
Description: bacterial SSU rRNA
Rfam family: Bacterial small subunit ribosomal RNA
Source: RNAcentral